AUGGAGUUUACAUUCUAGUGAGUUGAGAGCAAAUCAUUUCUUGACCGUACCUGAGGGACAAGGUCUGUUAGAAAAGGGAAGCCCAUUAUCCACUCUACCAUUCCAAUCUGGCAGUGCUUGAUUCAGUGUGAUAACUUGCAGCAACAUGAUAGGGAUCACAAGGCCACAAGAGUGGGGCAGUGACACAAGAGAGAUGAGUAAUCUGGGCUUUAUGUUUCUCAUCAGCAUUGCUUUGCACUUUGGAUCAAAUCUUGACGUGGAUUGUCAGCCUCUCUUCAACCUCAAAAAGCUCCUAGCACGAAGCAGAUCAGCCGAGGAUAUGGGUAAGUAUCUGAUAUGGACUCUCCAUAUUGUUCAGAGUGUGUAAUAAGUGCCUGGAUUUAUUGAUAUAUCCCUUUGAGUCUUAGGAAAUGUGGCAUCCUCAAGCAUGCCCUGUUGAAAGUCAAGUUGCUUUGAUAGAGCUAAUAGUUUAAACUACUAUCAGAUUGCUCCUUCGGGGGCAGGAAGCAGUGGUAUUUAUGGCAGUGGAUAAGACCAGAGCCCCCUGGGACAAGGUACAAGAGAAGAACCUUGUGCAGAUUUCAGGAGGGAGGAGGCAGGGCUCUCAGUAGGCCUGCUCUGACUGGUGGUUAUGUCAAGCCACAGUCAUGGAGGGGGAGACCCCAGUGCAUAGGCCUGGCUUUUUUUCCCCCCAUCUUUCUUUUUGCUCCACAUUCCUUUCCCUCCUUCUGCCUCAGGCAAAUCAGCACUUGGAAAAAUCUGUUUGAUAGACAUCUUCCCUUUGCUCCUCUUUACUCUCCCUCAGUUCUGUUCUUUACUCUGCUCUGUGCCCUGGGAGGCUAGCGUCUGUUGGGUAUUCCGCUGGAGAGCAUGGGCAGCAAACCAGAAGAAAAGAGGAUGAUGUCUCGUAUUUAUUCUCCUGGUUCUCACUCUGUGGGGUUGUAAAGAGUGAACCUAGACCAAAACUCCAGAGUCCCUGGCACCUGGCUUCUUGUUUUCUUUCCAUCUCCCUCUUUCUCUCUCCCUUUUUUCUGGUAAGUACACCCUAACUUUACCUUCCAGGCCUUGGGAUGUAAGUUCCCCACAGUAGAACACUAUUCCUUGUGGUUUCCCAAAUCCUUCUCUACACCUUUGUAAAUAUGCAUUUAUUAAACUCACGUUGAAUUACCCAAUCUGAGUGUGCCAUCUGUUUUCUGCUGGAAUCCUGACUGACUCAACCUCUUAUCUUACAGGGAGACACAACUGAUGUCAUGUGCUUUGGAAAGAGUUAAAUAUCUGGUUUGGGAGCUCCUUAUAUGAACAUUUUAUAAUGAAAGUCUAGGUGUUCUUUGUAGCCAUCAGGUAAACAUUUUCUGAAGCCCUAUUUGCAAAUGGAAUCCUUUGUAAAAUUCCAACUAGAAGAGGUGUCAUUAACCAUGCUCAUUAUGUAUAGAGGAAGAAGUGGGUUUCUUCUUCUUAUCAAACCAUUAUUAAAUAUUUCUCUCCAAAUACACAUCAAUUUUUUUUCUUCAAUGCCUGCUCAAGACUCUAAGUCAAUGUCUUGUGGAGGAAACGUCUGAAAAGUCAAGACUUUAUUCUUCAGCCUGCCUGGCUCCUCCACAUUUGAAAGAAAGAAAUUCGACUGUGCCAAUGAAACAACUUUAGUAAACUUAUUGUUUUCAAUGCUGGAGUUGUAUGUGACCUUUGGAGUAGAAUAGGAUAUAAUUCCAUUUCUCUAGCAGACUGACCGCUUCCUCAUCGUCUUUGAACACUAUGUGCUGCCCCCAGCAAAAGACUGGGAGGAGGGAAAGGAGACUGUAGGCAGCAGCAGAGCCUUUUAAAACAGAGGAGACAAAAGUAAAGAAUUUGCUGGGGCACAGGUAAUCAUACCCCAAUCUGUGGCUAGACCAGCUGGCAGCUGGGCUCACGCCCAGUACACAGGCUAUCAAAACCAAGACAAAAACACCCUUAUAGAACUCAAAUUUUGACUCGACUUUGAUGACAUUAUAAUUUUUCUUCCCCAAUGACAGAGUAGAUUGGGAAAACUGUCUGAACUUCCACUUGAUGUUUGAAUUACCUAAUCCCCUCUCAAAUCACAUAGGAAGAUCUUCAAAUUGUGAAAGUCUGACAAUGGGCCAAGUCAACAGCCAAGAGCAGCUCUUCAGAGUUUUCCUCUGAAGUCUGGAGGAAGCAAAAGUCUUGUUAGUAAAGGUUCGGGUACAGCUCCUGAAAUGGCCCCUGCUUCACACUCUGGCUUUGCUCAGCUUCAGGAGUUCAGACUUGUUAGGCUUCUUUUGGAAGGAUUUUACUCUGCUCUGCCCUUUUGUGUAAUGAUUUAGGCCCAGGGGUUCUGGACUGAGAUUAUCCAGCACCGGAUUCAAGUGCUGACAUCAUUUACCUCCAUGUGACCUUAGGUAAGUCACUUGACCUCUUGUUUCCUCAGUUUCCUAUCUGUAAAAUUAUGAUAAAAAUAAUGCCUAAUUCUUAAGAUUGUCACAAUAAUUAAAUGAGAUAAUGAAUUUAUUAAAGUUAAAUGAAAACUCAUUGAAAGUUAUGAAAUGAGUUAUGUAUGAAAUGCUUUUAGAAUUGAGCCUGGCACAUGGUAAGUACUCAAUAAAUGUGAACAAUUCAUCAUCAUCACUGUGUAAAGGGUUCAGCAUUUUGUAAAGUGUUUAGAAAUAUUAGCCAUUUUUAUCAUUAUUUCCCCAGAUUUUGCUAUCCUAGCCAUGUUGUGUGUUUAUCAAUAAGUUGUCAGAAUAACAUUUUUUACUAAUUCCUUUUCCACAACAGUAUGUGCUCAGUUAGCAACGAUUCACUGUUGAUUGAAAAUCUUGACGGUAACUGUAUUUUCUUUUUUCCAGGUGGAAAUGUUCUGCUCGCCUCUUGAUUGUUCAGGGGAUAAAAUGAGGACAUCAUAAAAGAGAUGUGUGUGGGAUGAGUUUCUCAAUAAAACUGCUUUUAUACCCUGCUUCUCACUCUUUUUGUGUUUCUGGAGCAUUUGCUUUUGGCAUGUAAUAUUUAACUCCAGUUAUUCACAUGAUAAGUAUUU
This 3028-nucleotide long non-coding RNA is filed under the name Equus caballus (horse). Its description in RNAcentral is "lncRNA (ENSECAG00000051537.1)". The record is from RNAcentral. Lineage: Eukaryota; Metazoa; Chordata; Mammalia; Perissodactyla; Equidae.